AGGACGAACGCUGGCGGCGUGCCUAAUACAUGCAAGUCGAGCGCGGGAAGCAAACUGAAGCCUCGGGCGGACGUUGUGGAACGAGCGGCGGAUGGGUGAGUAACACGUGGGCAACCUGCCUGUAAGAUUGGGAUAACUUGCGGAAACGUGAGCUAAUACCAAAUAAAGCUUCAUAUCACCUGAUGUGAAGAUGAAAGAUGGCUCCGGCUAUCACUUACAGAUGGGCCCGUGGCGCAUUAGCUAGUUGGUGGGAUAAAAGCUUACCAAGGCAACGAUGCGUAGCCGACCUGAGAGGGUGAUCGGCCACACUGGGACUGAGACACGGCCCAGACUCCUACGGGAGGCAGCAGUAGGGAAUCUUCCGCAAUGGACGCAAGUCUGACGGAGACCAACGCCGCGUGAGUGAUGAAGGUUUUCGGAUCGUAAAACUCUGUUGUUAGGGAAGAACAAGUACCGUUCGAAUAGGUCGGUACCUUGACGGUACCUAACCAGAAAGCCCCGGCUAACUACGUGCCAGCCGCAGC
RNAcentral lists this ribosomal RNA (524 nucleotides) under uncultured bacterium. RNAcentral's name for it is "bacterial SSU rRNA". It matches the Rfam family "Bacterial small subunit ribosomal RNA", at positions 26 to 518 of the family's 1533-position model. The record is from RNAcentral.